AUUAAGCGGAGGAAAAGAAACUAACAAGGAUUCCCUUAGUAACGGCGAGUGAAGCGGGAAGAGCUCAGACUUUUAAUCUUCGGAAUUGUAGUCUGUAAAAGCUAGGUUAUCUCUAGUCGUCGGUAAAGUGUCCUGGAACGGACCGCCAAGGAGGGUGAUAGCCCCGUUCAUACCGACGAUGAAGGUGUUCGACCAGCUUUUUAAGAGUCGAGUUGCUUGGGACUGCAGCUCUAAGCGGGUGGUAAAUUCCAUCUAAAGCUAAAUAUUGGUGGGAGACCGAUAGCAAACAAGUACCGUGAGGGAAAGAUGAAAAGAACUUUGAAAAGAGAGUUAAAAAGUACCUGAAAUUGCUGAAAUGGAACCGAUAGGAGGCAGUGUUGGUGUGCGACUUUUUGGGCUAUCCUCGUGAGGAUGGCUCCUUGUGGUCGUGCAUAAGUUAGGCUUGUUUAAUUGCGUGGGAUAGACUUCGGUCGUCAUGCAAUCGAACGACUCUGACGAAAUGCCUCUUAUCAUCCCGUCUUGAAACACGGACCAAGGAGUCUAACAUGUUUGCAAGUGCUCGGAGUUUAUCUCCAAGCGCGGAAUUAAUGUGAAUGUGACCUAGUCACUUAGGUAGGAUGCUUCGGCUGCACUAUCGACCGACCACUGUCCUACGGGUACGAGGUUUGAGUGUGAGCAUACAUGUUGGGACCCGAAAGAUGGUGAACUAUGCUUGAGUAGGACGAAGCCAGGGGAAACUCUGGUGGAGGUCCGCAGCGAUUCUAACGUGCAAAUUGAUCGUCGAACUUGGGUAUAGGGGCGAAAGACUAAUCGAACCAUCUAGUAGCUGGUUCCUCCCGAAAUUUCCCUCAGGAUAGCUGCAACCGAAUAGUUUUAUCAGGUAAAGCGAAUGAUUAGAGGCCUCAGGGGUGGAAUGCUCUUGACCUAUUCUCAAACUUUAAAUGGGUAAGAGCCCGGGGUUGCUUAAUUGAACCCCGCGGUCGAAUGACGGUUGCUAGUGGGCCAAUCUGGGUAAGCUAGAUUGGCGAUGCGGGAUGAACCGAACGUCGAGUUAAAGUGCCAAAGUAUCCGCUAACCUAGAUCCCACAAAAGGUGUUGGUUCAUUAAGACAGCAGGACGGUGGCCAUGGAAGUCGGAAACCGCUAAGGAGUGUGUAACAACUCACCUGCCGAAUGAACUAGCCCUGAAAAUGGAUGGCGCUGAAGCGGAUCACUUAUACUCGACCAACCGUGCAAGUACGAAGCACUGUUGAGUAGGGGGGCGUGGAGCUCGUUGUGCAUUCUGUGGCGUGAGCCGGGAUGAAACGGGUUCUAGUGCAGAUCUUGGUAGCAGUAGCAAAUAUUCAAAUGAGAACUUUGAAGACUGACGUGGAGAAAGGUUCCAUGUGAACAGCAAUUGGACAUGGGUGAGUCGAUCCUAAGAGAUGGGAGAAUUCUGUUUCAAAUGGCCCUUACUUGUAAGGGCCAGCCUAUCGAAAGGGAAUCGGGUUAAUAUUCCCGAACCAGGACGUGGAUAUUGAGUGGCAACWCAAGCGAAAUCGGGGACAUUGGCGGGGGCCCCGGGAAGAGUUCUCUUUUCUUUUUAACAGCCCGAUGGUCCUUGGAAUCGGAUUGACCGGCGAUAAGGAUCAUUGGCUGGAAAAGCAGCAUACUUUUUGUGCUGUCCGGUGCGCUCUCGACGAUCCGUGAAAACCCGGUAGCGUGACUUAUUCGCACCCCUGGUCGUACUCAUAACCGCCUCAGGUCUCCAAGGUGUGCAGCCUCUAGUCAAUAGAACAAUGUAGAUAAGGGAAGUCGGCAAAAUAGAUCCGUAACCUCGGGAUAAGGAUUGGCUCUGAGGGUUGGGCCUAGGGGUCUCAGGAACGAAGGAUGUGGCGGCUAGGAGGGGACUACGACUCACGUUGCGGACCCAGCCCGGCUGCUCUCCCGAGGUCUUGAGAACGUCUUCGGACUUUCCCUAGUGCGUGGAACAACCAACUCAGAACUGGAGCGGACAAGGGGAAUCCGACUGUUUAAUUAAAACAAAGCAUUGCGAUGG
This 2037-nucleotide ribosomal RNA is filed under the name Mallomonas intermedia. RNAcentral's name for it is "partial large subunit ribosomal RNA". It matches the Rfam family "Eukaryotic large subunit ribosomal RNA", at positions 45 to 2168 of the family's 3401-position model. Lineage: Eukaryota; Synurophyceae; Synurales; Mallomonadaceae. The record is from RNAcentral.